Molecule: ribosomal RNA, 471 nt
Filed under: uncultured bacterium
Lineage: Bacteria
Description: partial 16S ribosomal RNA
Rfam family: Bacterial small subunit ribosomal RNA
Source: RNAcentral
GACGAACGCUGGCGGCGUGCUUAACACAUGCAAGUCGAACGAUGAAGCCUAGCUUGCUAGGUGGAUUAGUGGCGAACGGGUGAGUAAUACGUGAGUAACCUACCUUUAACUCUGGGAUAAGCCUGGGAAACUGGGUCUAAUACCGGAUACGACCAAUCUCCGCAUGGGGUGUUGGUGGAAAGCGUUAUGUAGUGGUUAUAGAUGGGCUCACGGCCUAUCAGCUUGUUGGUGAGGUAACGGCUCACCAAGGCGACGACGGGUAGCCGGCCUGAGAGGGUGACCGGCCACACUGGGACUGAGACACGGCCCGGACUCCUACGGGAGGCAGCAGUGGGGAAUAUUGCACAAUGGGCGCAAGCCUGGUGCAGCGAAGCCGCGUGAGGGAUGACGGCCUUCGGGUUGUAAACCUCUGUUAGCAGGGAAGAAGAGAAAUUGACGGUACCUGCAGAGAAAGCGCCGGCUAACUACGUG